AUACGGAGGGUGCAAGCGUUAUUGGGAAUCACUGGGCGUAAAGGGUGCGUAGGCGGUUUGAUAAGUCUGAUGUGAAAUCCUAUGGCUCAACCAUAGAACUGCAUUGGAAACUGUCAGACUAGAAUACUGAAGGGGCAGAUGGAAUUAGUGGUGUAGGGGUAAAAUCCGUAGAUAUCACUAGGAAUACCGAAAGCGAAAGCGAUCUGCUGGGAAGUUAUUGACGCUGAGGCACGAAAGCGUGGGGAGCAAACGGGAUUAGAAACCCCUGUAGUCC
This 274-nucleotide ribosomal RNA is filed under the name uncultured bacterium. RNAcentral's name for it is "partial 16S ribosomal RNA". It matches the Rfam family "Bacterial small subunit ribosomal RNA", at positions 523 to 796 of the family's 1533-position model. The record is from RNAcentral.